GCCAAUCAGUGUUUUAUUUACUAACCAAUCAGAGCAACACAUUUGCCAUACAGAACAUCCCACAGCAGCAAAAUCAUUUUAAUCUCACAGAAUUUUCUGUAUCAACUCAUUUUCUCAGUCCCUCUGCUCAGUCCUUUGAGUCCCACCCUCAGCCUGAUUCAGAUCUCACGUGCCCUACAAAGCCCCUCUGCAGUCCUCUCCUCCCUGCUUCCCUGGGCUCUUCUUCUAGCUGCCUUCCACACCAGUAAGCAUUCAGAUUCAGCCCAGUUUCUGAACUCACAUCUGCAAUAUCUUUCCCAAGAAAAGAUAGUUCUUCCUUUUUUUAGUGUGUUGAUAGGGAGAGUGUGGCAGGUAAGUAUGUGUUUCUGGGUAUUUAAGAAUAAAACUUUAUGAGUUUAUUUUCCUUUAAUUUUUUCUCACUUUAUUAACUGAUAUGGGAAGUCACCCAGGUCUUCCAUGAAAUAUGCUUGCCAUCAGAUUUAGGGAGCUAACAAUGACUGAGGAAAGCAAUGAAGUCAUAUUUGUCUGUGGCCUUAAGUCUAAAAUACCCAAUGAAUAUGCCCACUCGGAAUGAUCUGCUGCUACAGUAGAUGACACUCAGUUCCAUGGCUCUGCAUGAAGUCCCAUGCUACUGGGAACUCCAGGGUUGGAUGAACAUCCUGGUGUUGUCUACCAGUCUGCUACCCUAGGAUGAAUCUGCAGAGCCUUUCAACACAGUAGCCAACUGACUACAAGAGUUUGUCAUCCCGUCCUUUCUCCUGUCUCAGCAGGAGCAAAACUUAACAGCCCCAAAAGCUUUGACAAGAUAUCUAUGGACAGAUGGAAAGUGUUUGGCCUUUAUCGUGGUGUUGAGGUAUCUCAGUGGUUGGGCCAGCUCAGCCAGGAUGCUCAGUGCCCCAAACCAGGUGAUGAGAGAGCUGCCUGAAUUCCUGCUGUUUCCAUGGAGACCAAACGUUUAUGUGGGUUCAGUAAUCCCCAGCAGCAGCUCACACUGAGGUGCGGUCUCCCUCACCUGGUGCCAGGAGAAUGCACCCAGUGAACUCUCAGAGCAUGCUGCUCCCCAUCUCCUGAUGCUCUGAACCUGGAGGUUUCACAAUCAACCUGACUCGGUGACCCACACUGCUUGAUUACAUAAUCAAACAAGGAUUUAGAGUCUGCUGUGUCCACACUUGUGGGGCACUGAGCUGCACAACACAGGAAAGGAGAUGGAACAGAGGCCAGUGAAACCCUCUAAGUCAGUGGUUCUCAACCUUUCUAAUGCUGAGACCCUUUAAUAAAAUUCCUCGUGUGUGACCCCCCAGCCAUAAAAUUGUUUUUGUUGCUACUUCAUAACUAUCAUUUUACUACCGUUAUGAAUCAUAAAUAUCUGUGUUUUCUCUUGGUCUUAGGUGACCCCUGUGGAAAGGUCGUUAGAUCACCCAAAGGGUCUCGACCCACAGGUUGAGAACUGCUGCUCUAGACUGUCCUUUCCCCCUGCUGCCCUCAUAUCUAUCUGUCUCAGUACUUCUCUGCCUUUUCCUCAUGGCGUUUCCAUAGCUCAUGGAGAAAACAUGAAGGCCAACCAUGGGGGCCAUGCUGUCUGGGAUGUGGGAUGCUAGACUGGCUCAGAUCGCCUAUGCCUGCCCCACAGAAUGACGAGGCCUCACUGCUGCUCUCCUGUGGACACCCCUGCACACAGUUAAAUUGUGUGAUCCUAGAGGACAGCAGAUAACUUAGACACUUCUAAUUUGUGCUCUGUGCCACACUCCUCUGAGAAUGGAGUGUCAUCUGCACCCUUUGGAUGCUUACUGUUGGACGGCCCGAGCACUCAAGACCUCACUCAUGAAAUGAUCCCUGGAGAGAAGAGAUCUCGUUUCCAGAUGGGAAAACCGAGGCGUAGUGGGGUUGACAUUGGGAUCCUCUAGUCAGUGAAUGACAGGUCCAGGAACCAUCGCUUCCAGGUCUUGGUCGUCAAGUCUCACAUCUUGAGAAACCUCAGCAAUGCUGAUUGAUUCACAGCAUCAGGAUUUAUUUGCACUGAAGCCGUGGAGAUCUUCCUACCUCUGCAGUUCCCUACCGCCAGUCACAUCGGUCCUCACGAGGCACCCCUUGUCUGCUGUCCAGGAGCACUGGGUUCCAAGGAG
Non-coding RNA from Peromyscus maniculatus bairdii (prairie deer mouse), 2123 nucleotides. The record is from RefSeq and is a predicted model, not a curated record. NCBI's taxonomy places the organism in Eukaryota, Metazoa, Chordata, Mammalia, Rodentia, Cricetidae.